This 626-nucleotide ribosomal RNA is filed under the name Mycobacterium sp. MO.04. RNAcentral's name for it is "bacterial SSU rRNA". It matches the Rfam family "Bacterial small subunit ribosomal RNA", at positions 57 to 700 of the family's 1533-position model. Lineage: Bacteria; Bacillati; Actinomycetota; Actinomycetes; Mycobacteriales; Mycobacteriaceae. The record is from RNAcentral.
GCAAGUCGAACGGAAAGGCCCUUCGGGGUACUCGAGUGGCGAACGGGUGAGUAACACGUGGGUGAUCUGCCCUGCACUUUGGGAUAAGCCUGGGAAACUGGGUCUAAUACCGAAUAUGACCACAUGCUUCAUGGUGUGUGGUGGAAAGCUUUUGCGGUGUGGGAUGGGCCCGCGGCCUAUCAGCUUGUUGGUGGGGUAAUGGCCUACCAAGGCGACGACGGGUAGCCGGCCUGAGAGGGUGACCGGCCACACUGGGACUGAGAUACGGCCCAGACUCCUACGGGAGGCAGCAGUGGGGAAUAUUGCACAAUGGGCGCAAGCCUGAUGCAGCGACGCCGCGUGAGGGAUGACGGCCUUCGGGUUGUAAACCUCUUUCAAUAGGGACGAAGCGCAAGUGACGGUACCUAUAGAAGAAGGACCGGCCAACUACGUGCCAGCAGCCGCGGUAAUACGUAGGGUCCGAGCGUUGUCCGGAAUUACUGGGCGUAAAGAGCUCGUAGGUGGUUUGUCGCGUUGUUCGUGAAAACUCACAGCUUAACUGUGGGCGUGCGGGCGAUACGGGCAGACUAGAGUACUGCAGGGGAGACUGGAAUUCCUGGUGUAGCGGUGGAAUGCGCAGAUAUCAG